RNAcentral lists this transfer RNA (69 nucleotides) under Megophrys sp. FH-2015. Its description in RNAcentral is "tRNA-Glu". It matches the Rfam family "tRNA". From Rfam's summary of the family: Transfer RNA (tRNA) molecules are approximately 80 nucleotides in length. The record is from RNAcentral. Lineage: Eukaryota; Metazoa; Chordata; Amphibia; Anura; Megophryidae. RNAcentral also lists the same sequence under 1 other name.
GUUUCUGUAGUUGAGUUACAACAGUGAUUUUUCGUGUCACAGGUUCAGGUUAGAGUCCUGGGGGAAAUA